RNAcentral lists this transfer RNA (91 nucleotides) under Felis catus (domestic cat). It matches the Rfam family "tRNA". From Rfam's summary of the family: Transfer RNA (tRNA) molecules are approximately 80 nucleotides in length. Their secondary structure includes four short double-helical elements and three loops (D, anti-codon, and T loops). Lineage: Eukaryota; Metazoa; Chordata; Mammalia; Carnivora; Felidae. RNAcentral also lists the same sequence under 1 other name. The record is from Rfam by way of RNAcentral.
GCCUGGGUGGCUCAGUUGGUUAAGCGUCAAACUCUUGAUUUGGGCUCAGGUCAUGAUCUCUCGGUCAUGGGAUCGAGCCCCAUCUCGGACU